GUCCAGCUGACGAGUCCAAAAUAGGACAAAACGCGCAUCACGGAU
Molecule: non-coding RNA, 45 nt
Organism: Schistosoma mansoni
Lineage: Eukaryota; Metazoa; Platyhelminthes; Trematoda; Strigeidida; Schistosomatidae
Source: Rfam